Molecule: ribosomal RNA, 460 nt
Filed under: uncultured bacterium
Lineage: Bacteria
Description: partial 16S ribosomal RNA
Rfam family: Bacterial small subunit ribosomal RNA
Source: RNAcentral
CCUACGGGUGGCAGCAGUGAGGAAUAUUGGUCAAUGGACGCAAGUCUGAACCAGCCAUGCCGCGUGCAGGAAGACGGCCCUAUGAGUUGUAAACUGCUUUUGUACGGGGGUAAACGCAGAUACGAGUAUCUGUCUGAAAGUAUCGUACGAAUAAGGAUCGGCUAACUCCGUGCCAGCAGCCGCGGUAAUACGGAGGAUUCAAGCGUUAUCUGGAUUUAUUGGGUUUAAAGGGUGCGCAGGCGGUCGGAUAAGUUAGAGGUGAAAUCCCGAGGCUCAACGUCGGAAUUGCCUCUGAUACUGGUAGGCUAGAGAGUAGUUGAGGUAGGCGGAAUGCAUGGUGUAGCGGUGAAAUGCUGAGAGAUCAGACAGAAUACCGAUUGCGAAGGCAGCUUACCAGGCUACUUCUGACGCUGAGGCACGAAAGCGUGGGGAGCAAACAGGAUUAGAUACCCGUGUAGUC